Molecule: non-coding RNA, 426 nt
Organism: Paramuricea clavata
Lineage: Eukaryota; Metazoa; Cnidaria; Anthozoa; Malacalcyonacea; Plexauridae
Source: the annotation of a GenBank genome assembly
UCAUGGCAAAACAUGUAAUGCCAUUAGGUCAGAAGUAUCAGGUGUCAGGUCACGCUGACAUCGCGUAAUACAAUCGCGCAAUGAAAACAUGGCUUUUUCCCCUAAAAUACAUCAUUUCUCGGUUUAUAUAAAACAUUCUUAAUUUGUACACUCGGCUUGGGACUCCUUGUGUUAUAGCGCUAUUUCUUGUCGUAAAUCUUUCUUUUGGAUGUUAAAAAAAACUCUGUCACUUUUGCGUCAAAGUUGCGUAAUAUUUCAUUGUUUAGUAUAAAAAUUACUGUGAAUGCGCCUGCGACCCGCGUGUAAAGCGUCGUAACCCUGUUUUGACAUGCGUAAUGUUAAAAUGUACACGCAGAUUCACAAAGCCUGGGCCCUUGCGGUCAUUUUGGUGGGAAAAUUUUACAUUUUGACGCAAUUUAGACCCCG